Molecule: ribosomal RNA, 1089 nt
Filed under: Leuconostoc mesenteroides
Lineage: Bacteria; Bacillati; Bacillota; Bacilli; Lactobacillales; Lactobacillaceae
Description: bacterial SSU rRNA
Rfam family: Bacterial small subunit ribosomal RNA
Source: RNAcentral
GCGGUGGGGGCAGCUAUACAUGCAGUCGACGCACAGCGAAAGGUGCUUGCACCUUUCAAGUGAGUGGCGAACGGGUGAGUAACACGUGGACAACCUGCCUCAAGGCUGGGGAUAACAUUUGGAAACAGAUGCUAAUACCGAAUAAAACUUAGUGUCGCAUGACACAAAGUUAAAAGGCGCUUCGGCGUCACCUAGAGAUGGAUCCGCGGUGCAUUAGUUAGUUGGUGGGGUAAAGGCCUACCAAGACAAUGAUGCAUAGCCGAGUUGAGAGACUGAUCGGCCACAUUGGGACUGAGACACGGCCCAAACUCCUACGGGAGGCUGCAGUAGGGAAUCUUCCACAAUGGGCGAAAGCCUGAUGGAGCAACGCCGCGUGUGUGAUGAAGGCUUUCGGGUCGUAAAGCACUGUUGUAUGGGAAGAACAGCUAGAAUAGGAAAUGAUUUUAGUUUGACGGUACCAUACCAGAAAGGGACGGCUAAAUACGUGCCAGCAGCCGCGGUAAUACGUAUGUCCCGAGCGUUAUCCGGAUUUAUUGGGCGUAAAGCGAGCGCAGACGGUUUAUUAAGUCUGAUGUGAAAGCCCGGAGCUCAACUCCGGAAUGGCAUUGGAAACUGGUUAACUUGAGUGCAGUAGAGGUAAGUGGAACUCCAUGUGUAGCGGUGGAAUGCGUAGAUAUAUGGAAGAACACCAGUGGCGAAGGCGGCUUACUGGACUGCAACUGACGUUGAGGCUCGAAAGUGUGGGUAGCAAACAGGAUUAGAUACCCUGGUAGUCCACACCGUAAACGAUGAACACUAGGUGUUAGGAGGUUUCCGCCUCUUAGUGCCGAAGCUAACGCAUUAAGUGUUCCGCCUGGGGAGUACGACCGCAAGGUUGAAACUCAAAGGAAUUGACGGGGACCCGCACAAGCGGUGGAGCAUGUGGUUUAAUUCGAAGCAACGCGAAGAACCUUACCAGGUCUUGACAUCCUUUGAAGCUUUUAGAGAUAGAAGUGUUCUCUUCGGAGACAAAGUGACAGGUGGUGCAUGGUCGUCGUCAGCUCGUGUCGUGAGAAUGUUGGGGUUAAGUCCCGCAACGAGCGCAACCCC